This 460-nucleotide ribosomal RNA is filed under the name uncultured bacterium. RNAcentral's name for it is "partial 16S ribosomal RNA". It matches the Rfam family "Bacterial small subunit ribosomal RNA", at positions 338 to 795 of the family's 1533-position model. The record is from RNAcentral.
CCUACGGGUGGCAGCAGUGAGGAAUAUUGGUCAAUGGACGAGAGUCUGAACCAGCCAAGUAGCGUGAAGGAUGACUGCCCUAUGGGUUGUAAACUUCUUUUAUAAAGGAAUAAAACGAGGCACGUGUGCCUUUUUGCAUGUACUUUAUGAAUAAGGAUCGGCUAACUCCGUGCCAGCAGCCGCGGUAAUACGGAGGAUCCGAGCGUUAUCCGGAUUUAUUGGGUUUAAAGGGAGCGUAGAUGGGUUGUUAAGUCAGUUGUGAAAGUUUGCGGCUCAACCGUAAAAUUGCAAUUGAUACUGGCAGUCGUGAGUACAGUGGAGGUAGGCGGAAUUCGUGGUGUAGCGGUGAAAUGCUUAGAUAUCACGAAGAACCCCGAUUGCGAAGGCAGCUUACUAAACUGUGACUGACAUUGAUGCUCGAAAGUGUGGGUAUCAAACAGGAUUAGAUACCCCUGUAGUC